UGGGGAAUAUUGCGCAAUGGGCGAAAGCCUGAUGCAGCGACGCCGCGUGCGGGAUGAAGGUUUUCGGAUCGUAACCCUCUGUCAGAAGGGAAGAAACCGCACUGUGCUAAUCAGCAGUGCCUUGACGGUACCUUCAAAGGAAGCACCGGCUAACUCCGUUCCAGCAGCCGCGGUAAUACUGAGGGUGCAAGCGUUAAUCGGAAUUACUGGGCGUAAAGCGCACGUAGGCUGCUUUGUAAGUCAGGGGUGAAAUCUCACGGCUCAACCGUGGAACUGCCUUUGAUACUGCUUAGCUUGAAUCCGGGAGAGGGUGGCGGAAUUGCAGGUGUAGGAGUGAAAUCCGUAGAUAUCUGGAGGAACAUCAGUGGCGAAGGCGGCCACCUGGACCGGUAUUGACGCUGAGGUGCGAAAGCGUGGGGAGCAAACAGG
RNAcentral lists this ribosomal RNA (429 nucleotides) under Fusobacteriota bacterium. RNAcentral's name for it is "Fusobacteria bacterium partial 16S ribosomal RNA". It matches the Rfam family "Bacterial small subunit ribosomal RNA", at positions 355 to 776 of the family's 1533-position model. Lineage: Bacteria; Fusobacteriati; Fusobacteriota. The record is from RNAcentral.